RNAcentral lists this non-coding RNA (971 nucleotides) under Choeronycteris mexicana. RNAcentral describes it as "partial 12S ribosomal RNA". It matches the Rfam family "Bacterial small subunit ribosomal RNA". The record is from RNAcentral. Lineage: Eukaryota; Metazoa; Chordata; Mammalia; Chiroptera; Phyllostomidae.
CAAAGGUUUGGUCCCAGCCUUUCUAUUAAUUAUAAACAAACUUACACAUGCAAGUAUCUGCACUCCAGUGAGAAUGCCCUAUAAAUCACCCAAUGAUAUAAAGGAGCGGGUAUCAAGCACACCACUAGGUAGCUCACAACACCUUGCUCAACCACACCCCCACGGGAAACAGCAGUGAUAAAAAUUAAGCAAUAAACGAAAGUUUGACUAAGUUAUGCUUAUCUUGGGUUGGUAAAUUUCGUGCCAGCCACCGCGGUCAUACGAUUAACCCCAAUUAAUAGAUCCACGGCGUAAAACGUGUUUAAGAAACCCACAACAAUAAAGCCAAACUUUAGCUGCGCUGUAAAAAGCUACAGCUACUGUAAGUCCUACCACGAAAGUAACUUUAAAUUGUCUGAACACACUAUAGCUAAGACCCAAACUGGGAUUAGAUACCCCACUAUGCUUAGCCCUAAACCUAAAGAAUUUGACAUAACAAAAUUCUUCGCCAGAGUACUACUAGCCAAAGCUUAAAACUCAAAGGACUUGGCGGUGCUUUAUAUCCUUCUAGAGGAGCCUGUUCUAUAAUCGAUAAACCCCGAUAAACCCUACCAAUUCUUGCCAAACCAGCCUAUAUACCGCCAUCUUCAGCAAACCCUAAAAAGGACAUAAAGUAAGCCCAACUACAAUAUGCAAAAACGUUAGGUCAAGGUGUAGCCCAUGAAUUGGAAAGAAAUGGGCUACAUUUCCUACAUAAUAGGACAUUACUAAAACUUACACGAAAGUUCCUGUGAAAUCAAGAACUAAAGGUGGAUUUAGCAGUAAACUAAGAAUAGAGUGCUUAGUUGAAUAAGGCCAUGAAGCACGCACACACCGCCCGUCACCCUCCUCAAAUAUUAAUGGUAUCAACAACCCUAUUAUAAUCAACCAGAACUAUUAGAGGAGAUAAGUCGUAACAAGGUAAGCGUACUGGAAAGUGUGCUUGGAUAACU